UACGGGGGGGGCAAGCGUUGUUCGGAAUUACUGGGCGUAAAGGGCUCGUAGGCGGCCAACUAAGUCAUACGUGAAAUCCCUCAGCUUAACUGGGGAACUGCGUGUGAUACUGGAUGGCUUGGAUUUGGGAGAGGGAUGCGGAAUUCCAGGUGUAGCGGUGAAAUGCGUAGAUAUCUGGAGGAACACCGGUGGCGAAGGCGGCAUCCUGGACCGACACUGACGCUGAGGCGCGAAAGCUAGGGGAGCAAACGGG
RNAcentral lists this ribosomal RNA (253 nucleotides) under uncultured bacterium. RNAcentral's name for it is "partial 16S ribosomal RNA". It matches the Rfam family "Bacterial small subunit ribosomal RNA", at positions 524 to 776 of the family's 1533-position model. The record is from RNAcentral.